RNAcentral lists this transfer RNA (72 nucleotides) under Chelonia mydas (Green sea turtle). It matches the Rfam family "tRNA". Rfam says of the family: Transfer RNA (tRNA) molecules are approximately 80 nucleotides in length. Their secondary structure includes four short double-helical elements and three loops (D, anti-codon, and T loops). Lineage: Eukaryota; Metazoa; Chordata; Testudines; Cheloniidae. The record is from Rfam by way of RNAcentral.
GCAUUGGUAGUGUCGCGGUUAGCAUGGCUGCAUUCCAAGCAGUUGGUCUGGGUUGAAUUCCCAGCCAACGUA